CCUACGGGGGGCAGCAGUGGGGAAUUUUGGACAAUGGGCGCAAGCCUGAUCCAGCAAUGCCGCGUGAGUGAAGAAGGCCUUCGGGUUGUAAAGCUCUUUUGUCAGGGAAGAAACGGUUGGGGCUAAUAUCCUCAGCUAAUGACGGUACCUGAAGAAUAAGCACCGGCUAACUACGUGCCAGCAGCCGCGGUAAUACGUAGGGUGCAAGCGUUAAUCGGAAUUACUGGGCGUAAAGCGUGCGCAGGCGGUUUUGUAAGUCUGUCGUGAAAGCCCCGGGCUUAACCUGGGAAUUGCGAUGGAGACUGCAAGGCUUGAAUCUGGCAGAGGGGGGUAGAAUUCCACGUGUAGCAGUGAAAUGCGUAGAGAUGUGGAGGAACACCGAUGGCGAAGGCAGCCCCCUGGGUCAAGAUUGACGCUCAUGCACGAAAGCGUGGGGAGCAAACAGGAUUAGAUACCCUGGUAGUCCACGCCCUAAACGAUGUCUACUAGUUGUCGGGUCUUAAUUGACUUGGUAACGCAGCUAACGCGUGAAGUAGACCGCCUGGGGAGUACGGUCGCAAGAUUAAAACUCAAAUGAAUUGACGG
RNAcentral lists this ribosomal RNA (585 nucleotides) under uncultured bacterium. RNAcentral describes it as "bacterial SSU rRNA". It matches the Rfam family "Bacterial small subunit ribosomal RNA", at positions 338 to 916 of the family's 1533-position model. The record is from RNAcentral.